Molecule: ribosomal RNA, 254 nt
Filed under: uncultured bacterium
Lineage: Bacteria
Description: partial 16S ribosomal RNA
Rfam family: Bacterial small subunit ribosomal RNA
Source: RNAcentral
UACGGAGGAUCCAAGCGUUAUCCGGAAUCAUUGGGUUUAAAGGGUCCGUAGGCGGUUUGGUAAGUCAGUGGUGAAAGCCCAUCGCUCAACGGUGGAACGGCCAUUGAUACUGCCAGACUUGAAUUAUUAGGAAGUAACUAGAAUAUGUAGUGUAGCGGUGAAAUGCUUAGAGAUUACAUGGAAUACCAAUUGCGAAGGCAGGUUACUACUAAUGGAUUGACGCUGAUGGACGAAAAGCGUGGGUAGCAAACAGG